UUCGCCAGGGGACAACGAGCCACAGCUUAAAACCCAAAGGACUUGGCGGUGCUUUAGACCCACCUAGAGGAGCCUGUUCCAGAAUCGAUACUCCCCGUUAAACCUUACCCCCCCUUGUUCAUUUCAGUCUAUAUACCGCCGUCGUCAGUUCACCCUGUGAAGGAUUAGCAGUUAGCGAGAUCGGUCGAGCCCAAAACGUCAGGUCAAGGUGUAGCUUAUGGGGGGGGAGAGAAUGGGCUACAUUUGCUGACUCAGCAAAUACGGAUAUUGCCCUGAAAUGAGCAAUUGAAGGUGGAUUUAGCAGUAAGUGGAGAAUAGAGUGCUCCACUGAAGACGGCCCUGAAGCGCGCACAUACCGCCCGUCACUCUCCCCAAGAACUACAAUACAACAUAAAUAAUAAAAUAACGCAAACAAGGGGAGGCAAGUCGUAACAUGGUAAGUGUACCGGAAGGUGUACUUGGAAAAC
RNAcentral lists this ribosomal RNA (467 nucleotides) under Gammogobius steinitzi (Steinitz's goby). Its description in RNAcentral is "partial 12S ribosomal RNA". It matches the Rfam family "Bacterial small subunit ribosomal RNA", at positions 868 to 1526 of the family's 1533-position model. The record is from RNAcentral. Lineage: Eukaryota; Metazoa; Chordata; Actinopteri; Gobiiformes; Gobiidae.